GAUGAACGCUGACAGAAUGCUUAACACAUGCAAGUCUUUGGCGAAGCUGUGCUUGCACAGCCUAGCCAAGGCGGACGGGUGAGUAACGCGUAAGGAACUUGCCCUGCAGUCAGGGAUAACAGACGGAAACGACUGAUAAGACCUGGUAAAGUCAGGCGGACUCAUGUCCAGCCUGAUGAAAAGAGAUGCUGCAGGAGAGCCUUGCGUCCUAUUAGCUUGUUGGUGGGGUAACGGCCCACCAAGGCGAUGAUAGGUAGCCGGCCUGAGAGGGUGGACGGCCACAAGGGGACUGAGAUACGGCCCUUACUCCUACGGGAGGGAGCAGUGGGGAAUAUUGGACAAUGGGGGCAACCCUGAUCCAGCAAUUCUGUGUGCACGAUGAAGGUUUUCGGAGUGUAAAGUGCUUUCAGCAGGGAAGAAAAAAAUGACGGUACCUGCAGAAGAAGCGACGGCUAAAUACGUG
RNAcentral lists this ribosomal RNA (463 nucleotides) under uncultured bacterium. RNAcentral's name for it is "partial 16S ribosomal RNA". It matches the Rfam family "Bacterial small subunit ribosomal RNA", at positions 28 to 507 of the family's 1533-position model. The record is from RNAcentral.